This 486-nucleotide ribosomal RNA is filed under the name uncultured bacterium. RNAcentral's name for it is "bacterial SSU rRNA". It matches the Rfam family "Bacterial small subunit ribosomal RNA", at positions 28 to 507 of the family's 1533-position model. The record is from RNAcentral.
GAUGAACGCUAGCGGGAGGCUUAACACAUGCAAGUCGAGGGGCAGCAUAGGGUAGCAAUACUCUGAUGGCGACCGGCAAACGGGUGAGUAACGCGUAUGCAACCUACCCUGUACAGGGGGAUAACCCGGAGAAAUUCGGACUAAUAUCCCGUAAUAAUAUCCGGAGGCAUCUUUGGAUAUUUAAGUUCCGACGGUACGGGAUGGGCAUGCGUAACAUUAGCUGGUUGGUAAGGUAACGGCUUACCAAGGCUAUGAUGUUUAGGGGUCCUGAGAGGGUGGUCCCCCACACUGGUACUGAGACACGGACCAGACUCCUACGGGAGGCAGCAGUGAGGAAUAUUGGUCAAUGGGCGCAAGCCUGAACCAGCCAUCCCGCGUGCAGGAAGACGGCCCUAUGGGUUGUAAACUGCUUUUCCAGGGAGAGAAACUUACGCACGUGUUGCGUGACUGACGGUACCCUGGGAAUAAGCAUCGGCUAACUCCGUG